RNAcentral lists this RNase P RNA (350 nucleotides) under Aquiluna sp. RNAcentral describes it as "RNase P RNA component class A". It matches the Rfam family "Bacterial RNase P class A". Rfam says of the family: Ribonuclease P (RNase P) is a ubiquitous endoribonuclease, found in archaea, bacteria and eukarya as well as chloroplasts and mitochondria. Its best characterised activity is the generation of mature 5'-ends of tRNAs by cleaving the 5'-leader elements of precursor-tRNAs. Cellular RNase Ps are ribonucleoproteins. The record is from RNAcentral. Lineage: Bacteria; Bacillati; Actinomycetota; Actinomycetes; Micrococcales; Microbacteriaceae.
UGGGUUGGCCAGACGGUCGCGGCAUUGCCGAGGAACGUCCGGGCUCCGAAUAGCACAGUGGUGGGUAACACCCACCUGAGGUAACUCAAGAGAACAGUGCAACAGAAAGUAAACCGCCUCCCUCCGGGGAGGUAAGGGUGAAACGGUGGUGUAAGAGACCACCAGCGAGUCAGGUGACUGAUUCGGCUAGGUAAACCUCACUGGGAGCAAGACCAAGCAGAAGGCGUUUUGAGAACAGCUAGUUCAAGCCUUUGGGUAGGUUGCUAGAGCCACCGAGCAAUUUGUGGCCGAGAUAGAUGGCCGUCAGUGCUUCGGCACUACAGAACCCGGCGUAUCGGCCGACCCAUCUC